GUCUCAGGCCGUAUCAGCCUGAAGGCGCCCGAUCUCGUCUGAUCUCGGAAGCUAAGCAGGGUCGGGCUUGGUUAGGAUCUUGGAUGGGAGACCACCUGGGAAUCCCGGGUGCUCGAGGCU
Molecule: ribosomal RNA, 120 nt
Filed under: Bison bison bison
Lineage: Eukaryota; Metazoa; Chordata; Mammalia; Artiodactyla; Bovidae
Source: RNAcentral